UACGGAGGGUGCGAGCGUUGUCCGGAAUCACUGGGCGUAAAGGGCGCGUAGGCGGCUCAUGAAGGCUGUGGUGAAAGUCCGGGGCUCAACCUCGGAUCGGCCGUGGCGACUCGUGGGCUGGAGCACUGUAGAGGCGGGUGGAAUUCCCGGUGUAGCGGUGGAAUGCGUAGAGAUUCGGAAGAACACCAGUGGCGAAGGCGGCCCGCUGGGCAGUGGCUGACGCUGAGGCGCGACAGCGUGGGGAGCAAACAGG
Molecule: ribosomal RNA, 253 nt
Filed under: uncultured bacterium
Lineage: Bacteria
Description: partial 16S ribosomal RNA
Rfam family: Bacterial small subunit ribosomal RNA
Source: RNAcentral